GGGUUGUGAGGUUAAGCGACUAAGCGUACACGGUGGAUGCCCUGGCAGUCAGAGGCGAUGAAGGACGUGCUAAUCUGCGAUAAGCGUCGGUAAGGUGAUAUGAACCGUUAUAACCGGCGAUUUCCGAAUGGGGAAACCCAGUGUGAUUCGUCACACUAUCAUUAACUGAAUCCAUAGGUUAAUGAGGCGAACCGGGGGAACUGAAACAUCUAAGUACCCCGAGGAAAAGAAAUCAACCGAGAUUCCCCCAGUAGCGGCGAGCGAACGGGGAGCAGCCCAGAGCCUGAAUCAGUGUGUGUGUUAGUGGAAGCGUCUGGAAAGGCGCGCGAUACAGGGUGACAGCCCCGUACACAAAAAUGCACAUACUGUGAGCUCGAUGAGUAGGGCGGGACACGUGGUAUCCUGUCUGAAUAUGGGGGGACCAUCCUCCAAGGCUAAAUACUCCUGACUGACCGAUAGUGAACCAGUACCGUGAGGGAAAGGCGAAAAGAACCCCGGCGAGGGGAGUGAAAAAGAACCUGAAACCGUGUACGUACAAGCAGUGGGAGCACAGAGCAAUCUGUGUGACUGCGUACCUUUUGUAUAAUGGGUCAGCGACUUAUAUUCUGUAGCAAGGUUAACCGAAUAGGGGAGCCGAAGGGAAACCGAGUCUUAACUGGGCGUUAAGUUGCAGGGUAUAGACCCGAAACCCGGUGAUCUAGCCAUGGGCAGGUUGAAGGUUGGGUAACACUAACUGGAGGACCGAACCGACUAAUGUUGAAAAAUUAGCGGAUGACUUGUGGCUGGGGGUGAAAGGCCAAUCAAACCGGGAGAUAGCUGGUUCUCCCCGAAAGCUAUUUAGGUAGCGCCUCGUGAAUUCAUCUCCGGGGGUAGAGCACUGUUUCGGCAAGGGGGUCAUCCCGACUUACCAACCCGAUGCAAACUGCGAAUACCGGAGAAUGUUAUCACGGGAGACACACGGCGGGUGCUAACGUCCGUCGUGAAGAGGGAAACAACCCAGACCGCCAGCUAAGGUCCCAAAGUCAUGGUUAAGUGGGAAACGAUGUGGGAAGGCCCAGACAGCCAGGAUGUUGGCUUAGAAGCAGCCAUCAUUUAAAGAAAGCGUAAUAGCUCACUGGUCGAGUCGGCCUGCGCGGAAGAUGUAACGGGGCUAAACCAUGCACCGAAGCUGCGGCAGCGACGCUUAUGCGUUGUUGGGUAGGGGAGCGUUCUGUAAGCCUGCGAAGGUGUGCUGUGAGGCAUGCUGGAGGUAUCAGAAGUGCGAAUGCUGACAUAAGUAACGAUAAAGCGGGUGAAAAGCCCGCUCGCCGGAAGACCAAGGGUUCCUGUCCAACGUUAAUCGGGGCAGGGUGAGUCGACCCCUAAGGCGAGGCCGAAAGGCGUAGUCGAUGGGAAACAGGUUAAUAUUCCUGUACUUGGUGUUACUGCGAAGGGGGGACGGAGAAGGCUAUGUUGGCCGGGCGACGGUUGUCCCGGUUUAAGCGUGUAGGCUGGUUUUCCAGGCAAAUCCGGAAAAUCAAGGCUGAGGCGUGAUGACGAGGCACUACGGUGCUGAAGCAACAAAUGCCCUGCUUCCAGGAAAAGCCUCUAAGCAUCAGGUAACAUCAAAUCGUACCCCAAACCGACACAGGUGGUCAGGUAGAGAAUACCAAGGCGCUUGAGAGAACUCGGGUGAAGGAACUAGGCAAAAUGGUGCCGUAACUUCGGGAGAAGGCACGCUGAUAUGUAGGUGAAGUCCCUCGCGGAUGGAGCUGAAAUCAGUCGAAGAUACCAGCUGGCUGCAACUGUUUAUUAAAAACACAGCACUGUGCAAACACGAAAGUGGACGUAUACGGUGUGACGCCUGCCCGGUGCCGGAAGGUUAAUUGAUGGGGUCAGCGCAAGCGAAGCUCUUGAUCGAAGCCCCGGUAAACGGCGGCCGUAACUAUAACGGUCCUAAGGUAGCGAAAUUCCUUGUCGGGUAAGUUCCGACCUGCACGAAUGGCGUAAUGAUGGCCAGGCUGUCUCCACCCGAGACUCAGUGAAAUUGAACUCGCUGUGAAGAUGCAGUGUACCCGCGGCAAGACGGAAAGACCCCGUGAACCUUUACUAUAGCUUGACACUGAACAUUGAGCCUUGAUGUGUAGGAUAGGUGGGAGGCUUUGAAGUGUGGACGCCAGUCUGCAUGGAGCCGACCUUGAAAUACCACCCUUUAAUGUUUGAUGUUCUAACGUUGACCCGUAAUCCGGGUUGCGGACAGUGUCUGGUGGGUAGUUUGACUGGGGCGGUCUCCUCCUAAAGAGUAACGGAGGAGCACGAAGGUUGGCUAAUCCUGGUCGGACAUCAGGAGGUUAGUGCAAUGGCAUAAGCCAGCUUGACUGCGAGCGUGACGGCGCGAGCAGGUGCGAAAGCAGGUCAUAGUGAUCCGGUGGUUCUGAAUGGAAGGGCCAUCGCUCAACGGAUAAAAGGUACUCCGGGGAUAACAGGCUGAUACCGCCCAAGAGUUCAUAUCGACGGCGGUGUUUGGCACCUCGAUGUCGGCUCAUCACAUCCUGGGGCUGAAGUAGGUCCCAAGGGUAUGGCUGUUCGCCAUUUAAAGUGGUACGCGAGCUGGGUUUAGAACGUCGUGAGACAGUUCGGUCCCUAUCUGCCGUGGGCGCUGGAGAACUGAGGGGGGCUGCUCCUAGUACGAGAGGACCGGAGUGGACGCAUCACUGGUGUUCGGGUUGUCAUGCCAAUGGCACUGCCCGGUAGCUAAAUGCGGAAGAGAUAAGUGCUGAAAGCAUCUAAGCACGAAACUUGCCCCGAGAUGAGUUCUCCCUGACUCCUUGAGAGUCCUGAAGGAACGUUGAAGACGACGACGUUGAUAGGCCGGGUGUGUAAGCGCAGCGAUGCGUUGAGCUAACCGGUACUAAUGAACCGUGAGGCUUAACCUUACAACGCCGAAGCUGUU
This 2932-nucleotide ribosomal RNA is filed under the name Escherichia coli. Its description in RNAcentral is "23S ribosomal RNA". It matches the Rfam family "Bacterial large subunit ribosomal RNA". Lineage: Bacteria; Pseudomonadati; Pseudomonadota; Gammaproteobacteria; Enterobacterales; Enterobacteriaceae. The record is from RNAcentral.